CUCCAUAACCAUCAGAAAUACAAAGGUGGCCGACAGCGGAAACUACACCUGUUUUUUUCCAAAUCUUCGGCCACCUCAAACAUUCAAGAUUGAGCUUGUUGUUGGUGCAGCUCCAAAACCUUUUGUCUAUCACGUAAAACUAAGGAUGAAUUUGUUCUGCAAUGUGAGGUUCAUGGCUCUCCAAAACCUAAAGUAGAGUGGCUGGACAGUGCUACAAAGAUCCUUCCUGCUGAGGAGCCCCAGGUCUCAGAGAGAGGAGGCCGUUUCUACAUCACUCUCAACGCUACUGUGACCAGGGCUGACUACUAUUACUGUGUAGCCACUCAGGAGACCAUCAGCCUUCAGAUUUAUGCUGGAAUUUAUUUCAAUGGUGAUCUACAGCCAUCUAUCAAGAUUAUUAGUGAAACAAAACAGGGCAGUGCUGCAGUGUGUGGUUCGAGGUACUUCUGCAGACCUUAAAGUGGAAUGGCAGGACAGUGCUGGAAAGACACUUGCUGCCAAAGAGCCCCAGUUCUCAGAAAGAGGAGG
Perca fluviatilis (European perch) is the source of this 528-nucleotide long non-coding RNA. RefSeq lists it as uncharacterized. The transcript has 3 exons. Lineage: Eukaryota; Metazoa; Chordata; Actinopteri; Perciformes; Percidae. The record is from RefSeq and is a predicted model, not a curated record.